CAGUAGGUAGUUUAAUAGUCUAAAAUAUUAGUUUUGGAGACUAAUGAUGAAAAUCUUCUUUACUGA
RNAcentral lists this transfer RNA (66 nucleotides) under Oliarus cf. filicicola HI01081. RNAcentral's name for it is "tRNA-Pro". It matches the Rfam family "tRNA". Rfam says of the family: Transfer RNA (tRNA) molecules are approximately 80 nucleotides in length. The record is from RNAcentral. Lineage: Eukaryota; Metazoa; Arthropoda; Insecta; Hemiptera; Cixiidae.